This 74-nucleotide transfer RNA is filed under the name Aeromonas phage CC2. It matches the Rfam family "tRNA". Rfam says of the family: Transfer RNA (tRNA) molecules are approximately 80 nucleotides in length. Their secondary structure includes four short double-helical elements and three loops (D, anti-codon, and T loops). The record is from Rfam by way of RNAcentral. Lineage: Duplodnaviria; Heunggongvirae; Uroviricota; Caudoviricetes; Pantevenvirales; Straboviridae.
UGGCGUGUAACUCAGUAGGUUAGAGUGGCGGACUGUUAAUCCGUAUGUCGUGGGUUCGAAUCCCACCUCGCCAG